This 449-nucleotide ribosomal RNA is filed under the name Salmonella enterica subsp. enterica serovar Enteritidis. Its description in RNAcentral is "partial 23S ribosomal RNA". It matches the Rfam family "Bacterial large subunit ribosomal RNA", at positions 759 to 1206 of the family's 2925-position model. Lineage: Bacteria; Pseudomonadati; Pseudomonadota; Gammaproteobacteria; Enterobacterales; Enterobacteriaceae. The record is from RNAcentral.
ACACUAACUGGAGGACCGAACCGACUAAUGUUGAAAAAUUAGCGGAUGACCUGUGGCUGGGGGUGAAAGGCCAAUCAAACCGGGAGAUAGCUGGUUCUCCCCGAAAGCUAUUUAGGUAGCGCCUCGUGAAUUCAUCUCCGGGGGUAGAGCACUGUUUCGGCUAGGGGGCCAUCCCGGCUUACCAACCCGAUGCAAACUGCGAAUACCGGAGAAUGUUAUCACGGGAGACACACGGCGGGUGCUAACGUCCGUCGUGAAGAGGGAAACAACCCAGACCGCCAGCUAAGGUCCCAAAGUCAUGGUUAAGUGGGAAACGAUGUGGGAAGGCCCAGACAGCCAGGAUGUUGGCUUAGAAGCAGCCAUCAUUUAAAGAAAGCGUAAUAGCUCACUGGUCGAGUCGGCCUGCGCGGAAGAUGUAACGGGGCUAAACCAUGCACCGAAGCUGCGGC